CUGGGUUCCAGGCCCAUCUGUGCAAUUUAUUAGGGGUGAGAUUUGGGGCAAUUUAUUUAACCUCUCUUUGCCUCAGGUUCCCUAUCUGUAAAAUGGGAAUGAUAACAAUAUACUUACUUCAAAGGGUUGUUGUGAGGAUUAAAUGAGUUAAUAUAUGUAAAAUUCUUAAAACACAUGGUGUAUGCACAUAGUAUGAGCUACAAGUUUGAUAAAAAACAUUGGUUGGCUAUUGAUCACAUAUAGUUAGGCAACUAGGAUGCGGAUAGAAAAAAAGUCUCUAUUUUUUUUCAAAAUCUGUAUAUAUGUAAGUAAUCACUAUAUAUAUAUAUAAAGAUAAUGCACAGAGAGAACCCCUUGGGAAGAAAUGCCAAGUCAGUCUGGAACACAGGCUAGUUCCACUUCCCCCGUGACACUUGCUAACGUUGCUUCGCUGAUGUCCACAGAAAUUGUUGCAGUGUUUACAAAUAAAUCUCCAAAUAUUUAACAAAAGUGGUGCAAAAUACGCUAACUAGGUCUCAGUGUUCUUAACAAAACGGGACAUUUUUCCAAACGCAGUGCUGAAUUGGGCUUUGUUUCUUUUUAAAAUCGCUUCACUCCCUCCUUCCUUCCGUUUCACCGGGAGAGUGUGAGGGGUCAAGAAUGUUUUGUGAGUUUAGAUACAUUUAGAUAAAUUGCUCAAAUCGCCCAAGGUGACCCUAUAGACUAGUAUCCUGGUUCGCCCAGACAAGCGUCCCGCUGCCGUCAGCGCGCGGUUAGGAACAGCAUCCCCUCGCUCUUACAGGUCUUCGUGUGGACGGUCCACCACCUCGUACAUAGGAAAAGGAGAGGCACCUGCACGUGGCGGCGUAUCUGGAAUCGAGGUGUUAGUGUUUGGGGCUUCCUGUGUUCUUGGAGGCGGGAGGGCGAUUCAGCGGGCGACUUUCGGUGUGGAUGGCCUCGGGCUCCCGCGCGGGCAGAAGGCUGCCCUGGACGGGCCGGGGCGCCGCUCCCGGACGGGCCGCUCCUGCCGCAGCCGCGCCCGCGCCCGAGGCAGCUCCCGACGCCGGCGGCCCGCGGGCUCGGCCGUGUCCCCGGGGCAGGCCAGCCCCAGCCGGAGGCCCGGCCCCCGCUGGCAGGCCGCGCCCCACUGUCCGCGCUGGACGGUAACCUGAGGACCUAGUUCCGCAUCUUAAGUUAAAAAGCAAGAAAAAAGAGUUAAGAAAGAGUCACUUUUUUAAAGCGCCCGUGCUGCAGCGAGCUGUGGGCAGCCCAGCAGGAGUAGAUCCCGGGGGGCGGAGUGGACGCUGGGGGGGCGGCGCGGUCCCAGCCCCUCCUCCCCUCCCGCGGCGCGCAGCCGGGCGGCGUGCCAGGCGGCUGCGUCCCCGGACUGGCGGCAUCCGGUCUCCGAGUACCGACUCGCGAGGCGGCGGCCUCUGUCCCGAGAGCUCAGCGGUCCGCUCCGCCCCUCCGGAAGGCAAGUGCCCGCAGUGCGCGUGUUGCCACCAGGCGGCUUCAGCCUGCAGGAUUUCUCGGGGUCCGGGGCAGCCCGGGCCGCGCGCGGCGAGCGGCUCUGAGGGUCGAGCACCGCCGCGUCCCCCGCCCCUGCAGACGGAGCGGCGGGCGUGCGCCUGCGCUGUGACGUCGGGGCGGCAGCCGCGGUUGACGACAGACGCGGGGCGGCGACGCAGGGCUGGAGGAGGCGGCAGAACUGAACGGCGUCCUCCCCGCGGCCUGGGGUCUUGGCGCUUGGCACGACCUGCGGCCGACCUGAGAGCCGCCGAGGGCCGCUGUGUGCGCGCAGGAGCCGCCCCCGCCCGGCGGGCGGUGCCCUGGGGGGCUCGAGAGCUGCGGCCCGGGCUCCAGCGCCGAAGACCCUGGAUUCGAGGCUCAAGAGCCAGAGCAACAUCUCUCAUCCGUUAACUUUGAGUGGUAUCUUUUGCUGAACAGAAGUACUUAAGACUUACCGCGGAAGAAUGAGGACUCCAAAGAUUUAGUAAUGUGCACCCCACAUCUGCUUGCAUCUCUGGCCAGUCGAAAGCUGGUAAGGGAAACUCACCGUUGUCCCUCGUCAACCUCGUCAGGUCUGUUUUACUGUGCGGGUCAAAAGGCAAGGCGGAAAGAAGGACUGGUGCCUGAGGAAGGCUUCCAGGAAGAACAGAGAGGCCAGGGGCUCCGGCAGCGACUCUGCAGCUACCAUUCCUGCUAUCAGCAAAGACUGAAGAGGGGUGAUGGGAGAGAGGCCCGCGGCCGCCAGAGCAAGGAAACCAGAAGGAUGGUGGGAGGGGAGGUGUAGAAAACACAGUGAGGUUUCUCGACUUACUUUUCUCCUGCCUUCUGAACAUUCAAUUCCCACUGGGAACUAAAGGUCCUCUCCCCAAUCCUUGCUUCCCAUCCCACGAACUGAAAUAACAAGGUCCGUGGAGCCAAGGAUGGGAUGGGACAGCUCCUCCGAAGGAGCUCAUUUCAGUAACAGCGCCGAGUGGGAGGGCCGGUCUUUUGUACUUCACCAAAGUGUCCCAACUGUUGAAAAUUUCAAACUGGUCCGUUAGUAGAAAUAAUGAGUUAAAUUUUUUCAUGGAAGCAACUGAAUUGUGUACUGGCAUGCUUAGGUUUAUAGAAACGACAAAAUUUAUUGUCCUCUAGAAUAAACAUGGAAUAAUUAAAUACCCUGAAUGUCCCCCAUCGAGCUAAGGCGGUGAUACAACAGUCCCCGCCGGCGUUGCUCUGAGGCCCAGGGCUAAUACUCACCAAGGGAGAAGUAAAAGCCUUGCGUGCCCUUGUGCACAAGGCUGCUUCUAGGAUUUCUUCUAAUUAAUAAGAGACGGUUUGUCCUUUGAAUAAUAGUUUGAUUCCGUGCUGGGGACAGAUGUCGUCAAGGGAUUUCCUUGGCCUAACGUAGUGGUCUGAGCCAGGGGCUUCUUUGGCAGAAGCUGGCGCUGGGAGCCAAGGUCACUGGCUGGGUCUCUGUAAGGCAACGACCUCUCCAUCAAAAGCCAGAGAACGUCUCUCUGAUCCCAGCUUCAAAUGGGUCUUGCUUCCUGCAUAUUCAGGGCUAUUGUUACGUGAGGAAAUGUAUGUGACCGUGCAUGCAGGCGCUGUUAUUUAUCACUUGUUCUCUGUAGCUGGUGGUGAUGAAAAAGAACAUCCUGUGGAUGCCCCGGUCUAAACUUCCUGCCGCUGACGACAGAGCAGCUCCAAGCACUGCAGACAUCUGACGCCGCUUCUCGGUGUUAAAAA
This is a long non-coding RNA of Equus asinus (donkey), 3216 nucleotides long. Lineage: Eukaryota; Metazoa; Chordata; Mammalia; Perissodactyla; Equidae. The record is from Ensembl.